RNAcentral lists this ribosomal RNA (253 nucleotides) under uncultured bacterium. Its description in RNAcentral is "partial 16S ribosomal RNA". It matches the Rfam family "Bacterial small subunit ribosomal RNA", at positions 524 to 776 of the family's 1533-position model. The record is from RNAcentral.
UACGGGGGGAGCAAACGUUGUUCGGAAUCACUGGGCGUAAAGGGCGUGUAGGCGGCUGAAUGAGUGGGAUGUUAAAUCCCCCGGCUCAACCGGGGAACUGCAUCUCAUACUGUUCAGCUUGGGUACAGCAGAGGAGACUGGAAUUCCCGGUGUAGCGGUGAAAUGCGUAGAGAUCGGGAGGAACAUCAGUUGCGAAGGCGGCUCUCUGGACCAGCACUGACACUGAGGCACGAAAGCGUGGGGAGCAAACAGG